GGCGCUGUGUCUUAGUUGGUUGAGGUGUCUGUCUCGUAAGCAGGAAAUCCUGGGUUUUAAAAUCCCAGCAGUGCCU
Molecule: non-coding RNA, 76 nt
Organism: Crenichthys baileyi (White River springfish)
Lineage: Eukaryota; Metazoa; Chordata; Actinopteri; Cyprinodontiformes; Goodeidae
Source: the annotation of a GenBank genome assembly